GCAUUUUCGAUUCAAACAACAACAGAGAUGAUAUGCACACCUUUGUCCAUUAUCUGAAUCCCUGAGCUAUACAUGAACCAUUUGAGGGGAGCCUACUCCAUACUGCGGUGCUCAACAGUGAUGCUGUACAGAGGAGAAAAAACUAGGUAGUCUUCCCACAAUUUAAAUAUGAGUGGAAGGUGGGAUUGGUUUCCGUGUGUUCCUCCUGUCCCAGCUGCUCAUGGGACUGGACACUGCUUCUAGCUAGCAGUUAAUCUGCUUAAGGAUGAAACUGUCCGUAUACACUGGAUGGCUUCGGGCCGUCUUCCUGGGCUCACUUGGGAAAACGUGUGUCUAGGAGGCAGCAGAGGGAAGAGAUGGAUCUAAAAGGCUGGAGAUGUUUCCUGGGAGGGUGGCCCAGAUGAUGACAUGGGUUUGGACUCCUUCCAGGAACAAAUGAAGCAAAAGAAAGCCUGCAUAGAGGAAGGAGGGGGGAAUCGGAGAAAGAUUUUGAAAGGAAAACCUGGAACUUUCCAAGCUUUGUUACUUGUUUCUUUUCAAGGCAUGUCUGUCUUUUCACUCUUUGAAUUCUUGAAGCAUUUCUCUAUCCUUCAAAUAACCACUUGUUGACAACAGAAAAAGAAAGUGGAAGAAACCAAAGCACAGCUACGACCAUUAUCUGCUCGCCCUUCAAGCUCUUACUACUUUUAUGAAAACUCUGAUCGCAUCAGCCCAUGAGAUACCGUCCCCGAGUUCCUGUAAAUGCUUACUACAUUUCCACUCACCUCACUCGUUUCACUGUUCUCCCAGCAUGAGUUAUCUUCAUACAGUUCUGAGUGAAACCAUGCUUUUCAAACUCAUCCGUCUUUCCCAUCACACCGAGCCUUUGCAGAUAAGACCUUCAGUAAACAGUUAUGAGUGAGACUAGGCUGAUUCAGGCUCAGCAGUUCAAGUUCACUAGUGAUUGAAUUUAAUAAAAUAGAACACAGCUGGGUAGAGAAAAGUAAAGCAAGAUACUAAAAUUAGCAAUAGGAGGAAUUCUUGAUUAUCUGCUGGUAUAGAAACAGUUUGAAGUGACAACCUCGCCUGAGAGUGAGUAAGCCAGGAUUAGCUAUCUCAAGAAGUUACAAUGUGUGACAUACUUAAGGAAUUAAUUGAUUUCUGAGUACAGGAUGUAUGCUAUGUAAUUUGGCUAUACCGAACCUACUCUAAGCUUCAUGUGUUAACAAUGAUCUAAGCACUUCCAUAUUUACAUCACCCGGAGGAAGAAAUAACUUCUUGUAGGAGUUCUCUUCGGGGAAAAUCUGCUGUGGCAAGCAUUGCUGUAGGAGCGACCUGGGGAUUGUCUUUGAGGUCUAGCUUAGUAUGAAGCAAGGGCAUGCUUUGACAUCUUAGGCCAAUUUAAUAGUAGAUCACAUUUGUCAAAGAACCACAUAGAUUUGCAGUUGAAGUUUGGCUAGAAGGCCAAUCUAUUGCAUGGUGUUAGACUUCAGCCAUCAGUAAUCAUCCUUUGACUCCCUGACCCCAUUAGUGACUCCCAAAGCAGACCAUUUGUAAUGAACUGGCUUACAAUGUAGCAACUUCUUCUCUAGUGUGAACAAUGCUGCCCUAUAAACCAAACAGUUGGCAAGGGGUAAUAGGAGGAGACACCUAAGAGGGGAGCACACUCAGGUCACAGGAUCAUCUAGGGUCUGCUGUCAAAUGAACCCGUGCCUACCUUUCAUACAGGGGAAAACCAAGUGAGCAAGCAUAGAGGAAUUGCUUGUUUUUCUCUUUAAAACUUAUUACUGUGAUGUUUCCUUUGGAGGCCUGAAAAAGGUGUCAGAUCCCCUGGAGCUUGUCAUACAAAUGGCUGUGAGUUCUGGAAAUGAAAUUCAGGUCCACUGGAAGAGCAGCACAUAUUCUUCAUUAUUAAGCCAUCUCUUCAGCUGCUGUUUCUAUUUUUCAGCGAAUAAAAACUAUAACUUUUGAAGAGUGUAUGCUUUUACAGAGCAUCCAUCUAAGCCGAAUAAUGAGAGUACAAGAUUUUAGAUUCCUGGUACACUAAAUAUGACCCUUAUUCUGUGUGGUAAAUUUAUCCUUUGAUUUGUACUUAUUAUUUUAAAAGCAUAUAUAAGCAUCGCAUAGUCCUGAGAAAUAAGUUGGUAUUGUUUGCCUAUUUGUCUGGGAAUAAUAUGAAUGAAGAAAACAUGUCUGUAUUUAUUUUAAGUGCUGAGAAUUUUGAAUUGUUGAAUCGGUUUUCCCAAGAAUCUUGAAAAUGAACAGUCAUGAUUUGACUGUAACAUAUCCACAGGGCAGUUCAAGGUCCUCACUAUAUUCUGAGGCUUUUUGCAACUUAGUCAUGCUGGGAAUUAAAGUUGCCGUGGGUUUCUUUCUUGAUAUUUCCACUUGAUCAGCUAUCAGAUAUGAAGACUCCAUGUCCUGUUUCCUUCUAGCCUGCAGCAGCCAGGGCUCCUGCGUCUCCUCAUGAGUAUGCUUCCUCCGUGUCAGGAAUCUGAAGAUGUUACUGGAAUAUCAGUUACCCAUAGGGAAUCUAUGCAUAUAAUUUCAGGAAUUUCCCACAGAACCACUUCUUACCUCUCUAAAUUGAUCAAAAGAACCAUUAGAAUUAGUCUUUUUCUUUCUUUGCAGGGAGCUCAAGACUUCGCACAUGUGAGGAAAGUGCUCUAUCAGAGAACUACAUCGGCAUCCCCAAUAAAGACCUUUUAAUCAGACUCUUUACAACCAUAGUGUUGUAGUAAUUCUAAAGUUCUAUGGAAAAUAACAAGACUAAUGCAUAAAGUUUCUGUCUACACUUAACUUACAUUCCCAAACUUUUAGGAUUUUGAUAUUUUAUUUUUUAUCUUCCCGUCUUUCUCUGAUUACUUAUAUUGGUGUCCUGUACUUUUUCUAAUCCACUUAAGAGUUUGUCUCAUUACACUUCUUUUUACCUCUCAGAAGGGUGAGAAUUUUCCAAACCUAAGUAACUAUUUUCUUAUGCAACCACGUGGUAUGAUUAUCAGAUGUGGGACAUUUCCCAUUGAUGAAAUUGUUGUAGUAAAUAUUUAAAAUCCUGCCCUGAGGUUUCUACCCUACCUUUUAUGAUUUAUGUUCCUAGAUGAAAGGCACACUCAUGGCCUGUACAAUAAACCCUAAACAGCACAAUAGCUGGGCAGCUGCCUAUCCUCUAUGUUCUUAGAAUCUACUUUCCUAUUGAUAACCUCAAGUUAUUAUUUACUAUCUGCUGUGUUCUAUUUGGGCUACUCUUAACAGCAAUUGGGCAGCUCUCAGGGCCAUGCUCCCUUAACUCGUGGUGAUGCCACCUUCCUCCUCUCCUGCACAUUUUUCUUCUCCUUCUCCUGACCUCAUGCCUAGGAAACGUAAACCCUUCUGCCCAGGAAUUGGCCGUCGACAUCUUUAUUUACCAAUCGGAAUUAACUUGGGGCUUUGGCUAUUCAUACAGACUUUCCAGUUAUCCCAAUGAAGUGAUGUCUAAGUUUUAUGCUCUCCCUCCCAUCCAGGUGCUAAGGUAACACCAUGGGUUGCCCUUAGCUCUCGUGACCAUAUUUUAUCUCUGUUGCUCUAGAACCAUUCUUUUAUCUUUUCUUUGCUUUUCACAGUGAAGCCAAUGGCUUUUCAUUUAGGUCUGCUGAUGUCUCCUAACACAUCUCUGGCCAGAACAAUGCAUAUGGAUGUGUGACCUUCUCAUACGUCCCUGGCAUAAGAUAGCUGUACACCCUUCCUUCAUGAUAGUAAUCCUGUUCACUUGGCCCUAGUUGUCCAUCUUCUUCACUCUGGAGUUUCUGAGUUGCUCUUUGAAAGCAGAAUGCAGCCCACUUGGAGACUUCCUAAACCCAUCCAAGGACCUGCUCUCAUCGCAGUUCUCUUCCCAUCUUGAGUCUAAUCAAGCUGUGCUACAGGGCUUGUGCCACCUUCCACCACCACCCCUGCUCCCCCACACUCUUUCC
Non-coding RNA from Mus caroli (Ryukyu mouse), 3926 nucleotides. NCBI's taxonomy places the organism in Eukaryota, Metazoa, Chordata, Mammalia, Rodentia, Muridae. The record is from RefSeq and is a predicted model, not a curated record.